GAUGAACGCUGGCGGCGUGCCUAACACAUGCAAGUCGAGCGGCAGCGCACCCUUCGGGGUGGCGGCGAGCGGCGGACGGCUGAGUAACACGUGGGAAUGUACCCCAAAGUGAGGAAUAACUGCCCGAAAGGGUAGCUAAUGCCGCAUAUGCUCUUCGGAGUAAAGGCUUCGGCCGCUUUGGGAACAGCCCGCGUACGAUUAGAUAGUUGGUGAGGUAAAGGCUCACCAAGUCGACGAUCGUUAGCUGGUCUGAGAGGAUGACCAGCCAGACUGGAACUGAGACACGGUCCAGACUCCUACGGGAGGCAGCAGUGAGGAAUCUUCCACAAUGGGCGAAAGCCUGAUGGAGCAACGCCGCGUGCAGGAUGAAGGCCUUCGGGUCGUAAACUGCUUUUAUGAGCGAAGAAUAUGACGGUAACUCAUGAAUAAGGGUCGGCUAACUACGUGCCAGCAGCCGCGGUCAUACGUAGGACCCAAGCGUUAUCCGGAUUUACUGGGUGUAAAGAGUUGCGUAGGUGGCUCGUAAAGUGAAUAGUGAAAGCUGGUCGCUCAACGAUCAAAACAUUAUUCAAACUCACGAGCUCGAGAGUGAUAGAGGUUACUAGAAUUUCUUGUGUAGGAGUGAAAUCCGUAGAUAUAAGAAGGAAUACCAAUGGCGUAGGCAGGUAACUAGAUCAUUUCUGACACUAAGGCACGAAAGCGUGGGGAGCGAACCGGAUUAGAUACCCGGGUAGUCCACGCCGUAAACUAUGGAUGCUAGCUGUCGGGGGUAUCGACCCCCUCGGUAGCGAAGCUAACGCGUUAAGCAUCCCACCUGUGGAGUACGAGCGCAAGCUUAAAACAUAAAGGAAUUGACGGGGACCCGCACAAGCGGUGGAUCAUGUUCUUUAAUUCGAUGAUAAACGAAGAACCUUACCAGGGUUUGACAUCCUUGGAAUCUUAGCGAAAGCUAGGAGUGCUUUAUUGAGCCAAGUGACAGGUGAUGCAUGGCCGUCGUCAGCUCGUGUCGUGAGAUGUUUGGUUAAGUCCAUCAACGAGCGCAACCCUUGUGAAUAGUUGUAUUUUUCUAUUCAGACUGCCCCGGCAACGGGGAGGAAGGAGGGGAUGAUGUCAGGUCAGUAUUUCCCUUACACCCUGGGCUAGAAACGUGAUACAAUGGCCGGUACAAUGCGCAGCAAACCCGCGAGGGGGAGCAAAUCGCAUCAAAGCCGGUCCCAGUUCGGAUAAGAGGCUGAAACUCGCCUCUUUGAAGUCGGAAUCGCUAGUAAUCGCAGAUCAGCAUGCUGCGGUGAAUACGUUCCCGGGUCU
Molecule: ribosomal RNA, 1308 nt
Filed under: uncultured bacterium
Lineage: Bacteria
Description: bacterial SSU rRNA
Rfam family: Bacterial small subunit ribosomal RNA
Source: RNAcentral